UACGUAGGGGGCAAGCGUUGUCCGGAUUUAUUGGGCGUAAAGAGCGUGUAGGCGGCCAGGUAGGUCCGUUGUGAAAACUCGAGGCUCAACCUCGAGACGCCGAUGGAAACCAUCUGGCUAGAGUCCGGAAGAGGAGAGUGGAAUUCCCGGUGUAGUGGUGAAAUGCGUAGAGAUCGGGAAGAACACCAGUGGCGAAGGCGGUCUGCUGGGCCGUUGCUGACGCUGAGGCGCGACAGCGUGGGGAGCAAACAGG
RNAcentral lists this ribosomal RNA (253 nucleotides) under uncultured bacterium. RNAcentral describes it as "partial 16S ribosomal RNA". It matches the Rfam family "Bacterial small subunit ribosomal RNA", at positions 524 to 776 of the family's 1533-position model. The record is from RNAcentral.